Molecule: long non-coding RNA, 511 nt
Organism: Dreissena polymorpha
Lineage: Eukaryota; Metazoa; Mollusca; Bivalvia; Myida; Dreissenidae
Exons: 2
Source: RefSeq, a predicted model, not a curated record
CUCUAGUAGGAUGAGCAUUUCUCCACUGCUCGUAGCACGAAGCCUUCACAAACCGUGGCGACUGGAAGAGCCUCCCAUCAGACACCUUUUAAACCUUGAUACUUUCAUCUUUAGAAUUAUAGGAUCACAUCAUCAUUCAAGGGAGAAAACUUCUGCAUUGGAAUACGUGACUGUGAUACACAAUUGUCUCCCUUCAAGAAUUAUGUUGUAAUACAGAUGAAUAAUUUUGUGCUAUCAAAAUAUUAUUAAUUGAGGCAAUGACAUGCUAUGGGUUGAAUAGUAUUAUAUUAAAAACAAUGGUUGGUUGAAUGAGAUUAUAAAAAAUAAACAUUUAGUAUUUUUCAAUUUUUAGCUCGGCUGUUUUUAGAGAAAACCCAAGGUAUUGUCAUAGCCAGCUUGUCGUAGUCUGCGUCGUGCAAAAACCUUAACAUUUUGUCAAGGUUUUGACUAUUGGCUCUAAAAUCAAAGUGUUUCCAUCUUCAACCUUGAAACUUCAUAUUAGCUGCACCUU